Molecule: ribosomal RNA, 478 nt
Filed under: Lobolibethra panguana
Lineage: Eukaryota; Metazoa; Arthropoda; Insecta; Phasmatodea; Diapheromeridae
Description: partial large subunit ribosomal RNA
Rfam family: Bacterial large subunit ribosomal RNA
Source: RNAcentral
UUAUUAAAUGGCCGCGGUAUUUUGACCGUGCAAAGGUAGCAUAAUCAUUAGUCUAUUAAUUGUGGGCUUGUAUGAAUGGUUUCACGAGAUAUUGACUGUCUCAUCUUAAUUUAUUGAAUUAAAUUUUUAAGUGAUAAAGCUUAAAUAUUAUUAUAGGACGAGAAGACCCUAUAGAUCUUUAUUGGUACAUGAUUUAAUUGUUUUAGGUUAUGUAUAUUUAAUUUAUUUACUUAUUUGGUUGGGGUGAUAUGGGGAUAUGACUAACUCUUUAUUAUAUUUAACAUUGAUUUAUGAUUAAUUGACCUUGUAAUAUUGUUUAAAAGAUUAAGAUACCUUAGGGAUAACAGCGUAAUUUUCUUUGAGAGUUCUUAUCGACAAGAAGGAUUGCGACCUCGAUGUUGAAUUAAGAGGGAUUUUGGGUGUAGUAUUUCAAAUUAUCGGGUCUGUUCGACCUUUAAUAUCUUACAUGAUCUGAGUU